UAACCCCAAUCCCACUUCCUCUUCGAUUCCGAAGGGGCAGAUUGUUUUUAUCAGCGAAGGAUUCCGACUGCCUUCUUGUAUGUAUACCUCUGGGCAAUCACAAGAAAAACUCCAAAGUUCAGCACACUGAGCGCAGCCAAGAGCCAGAAGAAGUAAUCCAGAUGACCAUAGUUUAAGUUGUCCGGUAUCCAUCCUGGUUUGCCACCCCUAGUGCUGGCUUUUGUGACGAUCGUUACUAAAAAGGAACUCAGAUAGUUGCCAAGUGCGGUGGUGGUGAGCGAUAGAGCAGCGCACAAGCUUCUCAUGGAAUCAGGUGCCUGUUCGUAGAAAAACUCUAGCUGUCCAAUGAAUGUGAACACUUCUGCACAACCUAUUAUGAAGUACUGAGGGAUCUGCCAGAACACUGAAAUUGGAAUCAGCUCUGCGUCGUAUAGGUUAUGUUUCUUCACUAUUCCAAGCCUAACAAUCUCUAGAACAGCUGCAGAUACCAUAGCAAAAACUGAUAUGACCAGUCCGAUGCCCAUUCUCUGCAGCUGGGUCAAGCCAUUUUUGCGACCUGUAAUUUUUCUGGCAAAGGGGGUUAUUAUUGUGUCGUAAAUCGGAACCCAGAUAAUGACACUGAGUGUGUCAAAAACGGUGAGUGAUGCUUCUGGGAUCUCAAAUGAAGUUUUUCCCAAAUGGGUGUCCAUGACUUCGGCUUGUGAUACAAAUAAGUUCCCCAUUUGACCAUAAACGGCACUGAACAUAAUACCAGUGGCCCAAACAGGUAGCAAUCUUACGAUUGAUUUCAGCUCCUCCACCUGUGUCACAGUGCAAAGCCUCCAUGCACUUACUUUUGAUUCAUUUGCAAGAUCUGAUUCUGUCUCCACUGCGGCCUUGUCAAAGAAACUGCAAAUAUAUAACACAACAAUUUUCAUUUAGAAAACUGGGACUGGCAAUUUCAAACCUAAGGAGAGGCAUAAUAGCAAUACAAACUGAAGUAUACUUGGCAAUGCAGUCAUUGCUGCCUCGCCUACAUGCAUAGAGUUGUUAAGGAUGUGUAGACCACUAAUGUUUGAACAGUUUCAAAUCAAAUCUUGACUCUUCUUAAUUUUAGUUUCUUCUGUUUUCUGGUAAACAGCAAAAUUACAAAAGAUACUACCAUCUUUAGUUACAAACUUGGGUGGUUUGAUCCUUUUAUCUUUUCUUUGUGAACAAAAAGACAAAAUACGUUAACUGGAAAGCUGACGAAGCUCAAGGCUUUUUAUCUCAAAGCAUACCUGAAGGAAUCUGUGUGUUCAAGCUUGCGACUGCCUACAAUAGCACUUGUCUCAUCUGCAACCUCACAAAGUUGAGAUUUGUCAGCAGGCAGUGGAACGCUAUGCUUUCUCAAAGAUGCCACCAAGACCUGGCAUAAGCGAGUCAAGGGACUGCCUCCUGGUAUCUGAUAACGGUAGAUUCGGGUACCAGAAAAGAAGGAAACCACUGCUAUUGCCAUUGCCGCAGCAGGUAUACCGAACCCCCAUCCCCACCCGACAUGUAAUUGUAUAUAGACCAAUAAAGAUGAAGCAAUUAGUGCCCCAAUGUUGAUACUGAAAUAGAACCAAUUGAAGAAAGAGCCUUUGAAGUUUUUCUCAGUUUCAUCAGCAUCAUCAAACUGAUCUGCUCCAUAGGAUGAGACACACGGCUUGAUCCCUCCAGUUCCUAGCGCUACCAGGUAGAGUGCUAUGAAGCAGACUGUUGUCUGAGUGCCCGUUGGCUGGCAAACAUCCUUGGCAGAACAGGUGGGUUUUAGGCCUGGGACCGAUGCCGACAAUGUCAAAAGUGUCAUGCCCUGUAACAAAAUUAAAGUCAUUUUAUGACAUCUCAUGAUCAAAACAGAUCCCCAUGCAGCUCAGCUUGGGUUCCACUAAAUAUCAGCACAUAAAGUAUUUGAAAAUUAAAAUUAAUGAAACAAGACAUAUAAACCAAAUACCAUCUUUCACUUCUUUAGAAAAAUGAAGAGCCCAGAGUUUAAACAUUAUUAUAUGCAUGUAUUGGCAAGGGUUGUCAUUCACAUUAAAUUAAAAAAAAAAAAUUUGAGGAGCUAGUUUUGACUCCCAAGACUAGACUAUUGAAAGUCCUGAAUGCUUUGCCUACACCUUUCUGUGAUGACAAAUAGCUUUGUCCUUUGGAAUUUGUUAAAAUGGAAAAAUAAUCAGCGAAAAGUGAAAAACAUACAAUGAAGUAGAUGGUUGAGAAGCUGGCGAUUGUCCAAUAUCUUCCAAGAUAUGAAUCAGCAAGAAAUGCUCCCAGUAGUGGCAUGAUAUAGCAUGUUCCUGACCAAUUCGAGAGAUUUCUUGAAGCAUCAGCAGUGUGCUGAUUGAGUUGCUUUGUGAAGUAGAUCAUCAGAUUGCUGCUCAUUCCAUAGUACGCCAAUCUUUCACUGCAUUCAUUUCC
Molecule: long non-coding RNA, 2418 nt
Filed under: Coffea arabica (coffee)
Lineage: Eukaryota; Viridiplantae; Streptophyta; Magnoliopsida; Gentianales; Rubiaceae
Description: long non-coding RNA (CARA_LNC000763)
Source: RNAcentral